RNAcentral lists this long non-coding RNA (245 nucleotides) under Elaeis guineensis (African oil palm). RNAcentral's name for it is "long non-coding RNA (EGUI_LNC061308)". The record is from RNAcentral. Lineage: Eukaryota; Viridiplantae; Streptophyta; Magnoliopsida; Arecales; Arecaceae.
GCAUCAGUCAGAUAGAUACUUAAGUUUCUUGAUCCGAGAUGGAGAUCUUGUCGCACUCAAUGAGAACGAUGAAGAUCUAAUCACCUACAUGGAUGCAAUACAGAGAUCCAACUCUAAUAAAUGGCUUGAAGCCAUGAGAUCCAAAAUGAAGUUCAUGAAGGUCAACGAUGUAGGACAUUAGUUGACCCACUUGAAGGGAAAAAGCCUAUAAGGUGUAACUGAGUCUUCAAGAGGAAGAGGGGCGC